Molecule: transfer RNA, 73 nt
Filed under: Millerozyma farinosa
Lineage: Eukaryota; Fungi; Ascomycota; Pichiomycetes; Serinales; Debaryomycetaceae
Description: transfer RNA-Leu
Rfam family: tRNA
About the family: Transfer RNA (tRNA) molecules are approximately 80 nucleotides in length.
Source: RNAcentral
AUGAUUAUGGCGGAAUGGUAGACGCGAUUAGUUUAGGUCUAAUUUACUAAGGGUUCAAAUCCCUUUAAUCAUA